AGUACUAUAGAAAUACUUAACCUACAAAAAUAACACUAACUAAAGAAUACUUGCUUAAUCCUAUGUCAAGUACUCAAGGCUACUAACUAACCAGUGCUAGUAUAAUCCUUUCCCUAAAGAAAUAAAUGCAUGCAAAAUUGAAAUUUGGAUAAAAUUGUGUUUUUUUUUUUUUUAAAUUAGGAAGAUCAAAAUUGCAAAAAAAAAAA
Molecule: long non-coding RNA, 206 nt
Filed under: Glycine max (soybean)
Lineage: Eukaryota; Viridiplantae; Streptophyta; Magnoliopsida; Fabales; Fabaceae
Description: long non-coding RNA (GMAX_LNC002814)
Source: RNAcentral